GUGCCAGCAGCCGCGGUAAUACCGGCAGUUCGAGUGAUGGUCGAUAUUAUUGGGCCUAAAGCGUUCGUAGCUGGCCAGUCAAGUCUGUUGGGAAAUCCACGUGCCCAACACGUGGGCGUCCAACAGAAACUGACUGGCUUGGGACCGGAAGACCCGAAGAGUACGUCUGGGGUAGGAGUGAAAUCCUGUAAUCCGAGACGGACUACCGAUGGCGAAAGCAUCUCGAGAAAACGGAUCCGACAGUGAGGGGCGAAAGCUAGGGUCUCGAACCGGAUUAGAAACCCCAGUAGUCC
This 293-nucleotide ribosomal RNA is filed under the name uncultured bacterium. Its description in RNAcentral is "partial 16S ribosomal RNA". It matches the Rfam family "Archaeal small subunit ribosomal RNA", at positions 455 to 747 of the family's 1478-position model. The record is from RNAcentral.